UCGACCUGCAGGCGGCCGCGAAUUCACUAGUGAUUCGUAUUACCGCGGCUGCUGGCACGGAGUUAGCCGGAGCUUAUUCUCCCGGUACUGUCAUUAUCAUCCCGGGUAAAAGAGCUUUACAACCCUAAGGCCUUCAUCACUCACGCGGCAUUGCUGGAUCAGGCUUUCGCCCAUUGUCCAAUAUUCCCCACUGCUGCCUCCCGUAGGAGUCUGGGCCGUGUCUCAGUCCCAGUGUGGCUGAUCAUCCUCUCAGACCAGCUAAGGAUCGUCGCCUUGGUGCGCCUUUACCACACCAACUAGCUAAUCCUACGCGGGCUCAUCCCUCGGCGAUAAAUCUUUGGACUUACGUCGUCAUCCGGUAUUAGCAGUCAUUUCUAACUGUUAUUCCGAACCAAGGGGCAGAUUCCCACGCGUUACGCACCCGUGCGCCACUAAGGCCGAAGCCUUCGUUCGACUUGCAUGUGUUAGGCAUGCCGCCAGCGUUCGUUCUGAGCCAUGAUCAAACUCUAAUCGAAUUCCCGCGGCCG
RNAcentral lists this ribosomal RNA (527 nucleotides) under uncultured Alphaproteobacteria bacterium. RNAcentral's name for it is "partial 16S ribosomal RNA". The record is from RNAcentral. Lineage: Bacteria; Pseudomonadati; Pseudomonadota; Alphaproteobacteria.